GGGCCUUUAGCUCAGUUGGUUAGAGCAGCCGGCUCAUAACCGGCGGGUCCGGGGUUCGAGUCCCUGAAGGCCCACCA
RNAcentral lists this transfer RNA (77 nucleotides) under Bacillota bacterium. RNAcentral's name for it is "Firmicutes bacterium (gut metagenome) tRNA-Ile". It matches the Rfam family "tRNA". Rfam says of the family: Transfer RNA (tRNA) molecules are approximately 80 nucleotides in length. The record is from RNAcentral. Lineage: Bacteria; Bacillati; Bacillota. RNAcentral also lists the same sequence under 1 other name.